RNAcentral lists this ribosomal RNA (253 nucleotides) under uncultured bacterium. RNAcentral's name for it is "partial 16S ribosomal RNA". It matches the Rfam family "Bacterial small subunit ribosomal RNA", at positions 524 to 776 of the family's 1533-position model. The record is from RNAcentral.
UACGGAGGGUGCAAGCGUUAUCCGGAUUCACUGGGUUUAAAGGGUGCGUAGGAGGGCAGGUAAGUCAGCGGUGAAAUCCCCGAGCUUAACUUGGGAACUGCCAUUGAUACUAUCUGUCUUGAAUAUUGUGGAGGUGAGCGGAAUAUGUCAUGUAGCGGUGAAAUGCUUAGAUAUGACAUAGAACACCAAUUGCGAAGGCAGCUCGCUACACAAAUAUUGACUCUGAGGCACGAAAGCGUGGGGAUCAAACAGG